Long non-coding RNA from Galeopterus variegatus (Sunda flying lemur), 334 nucleotides. RefSeq lists it as uncharacterized. The record is from RefSeq and is a predicted model, not a curated record. The transcript is spliced from 3 exons. NCBI's taxonomy places the organism in Eukaryota, Metazoa, Chordata, Mammalia, Dermoptera, Cynocephalidae.
AGGCAGAGUAUCACAUUCACCAUGGCACCUGGAUCACAGCUCAUCAGGAAUAUGGCAGAAGCAUAGCAGAAGAGGUCCUGCAAAAAAGUGCCAGUAACCCUAGUCUGAAGCAACUGCCAGAACCCUCAGACACCCAUUUAAUGCCAGAAGGUUCUCUUGAGGAGACAAGGCAGCUGACAGUGGCACUGGUGAGGAAACUGGAAGAGAAACAUCCUAAGGCUUCUGCUCAGAGAUGGGCCAUAAAGCAUGAAGGGACCAGUAAGCCAUGCCAGUGGAAACAUUCCAGAGUUGAAAAUCCUUUAUGGAACAAGCUUACCUACAUGUGGCCAGUCCU